RNAcentral lists this ribosomal RNA (497 nucleotides) under uncultured bacterium. RNAcentral describes it as "partial 16S ribosomal RNA". It matches the Rfam family "Bacterial small subunit ribosomal RNA", at positions 28 to 507 of the family's 1533-position model. The record is from RNAcentral.
GAUGAACGCUGGCGGCGUGCCUAAUACAUGCAAGUCGAGCGAACGGACGAGAAGCUUGCUUCUCUGAUGUUAGCGGCGGACGGGUGAGUAACACGUGGAUAACCUACCUAUAAGACUGGGAUAACUUCGGGAAACCGGAGCUAAUACCGGAUAAUAUUUUGAACCGCAUGGUUCAAAAGUGAAAGACGGUCUUGCUGUCACUUAUAGAUGGAUCCGCGCUGCAUUAGCUAGUUGGUAAGGUAACGGCUUACCAAGGCAACGAUGCAUAGCCGACCUGAGAGGGUGAUCGGCCACACUGGAACUGAGACACGGUCCAGACUCCUACGGGAGGCAGCAGUAGGGAAUCUUCCGCAAUGGGCGAAAGCCUGACGGAGCAACGCCGCGUGAGUGAUGAAGGUCUUCGGAUCGUAAAGCUCUAUUAUUAGGGAAGAACAUAUGUGUAAGUAACUGUGCACAUCUUGACGGUACCUAAUCAGAAAGCCACGGCUAACUACGUG